GAAAAGAAAAAUCAAUUUCAUCUACACAGUUCGAUGCAAUUAGAAAAGGAAGCACUUUUCACACAUGGAGAGAAUUAACGUAAUGCAGUCGUCCAUUGACGAUAUAUAUGAAACCUCUGCAUCCAAUGUGUUUGAAAGAAGCAUCCCAUGCUUGAGGUGUUGAACUUAAGUGUAGCAAAAAAUUUGGAAACUAUAAACCAAAAUGUUUAUACAACUAAUUAAUUGUAUUCAACCAGCUGACUAACUAUAUUGUAUGCAAAGUCGUAUCGUCUAGUGUACAAAAUAAAAACCAACAGGUCACCUCCCAUAUUGAGUAAGUUAUCUAAGAGUGAGAAGCACAAAUGAUGCAUCUCUGUGGUGCGAAUGUGUAUUCGGAUUCAAGAAGAUAAACAUUAUACAAGUAGUGAACAUAAAAUGUAGAGAACCAAUAUCGUUUUGCUAAGAGAGAAAAAGGGCGAUUGUGAAGGCGACAACGAAUCUCGAUCCUCGGGGUUUUCCGGCGAUUGUGAAGGCGAAGGAGAUGGAGUCAACGGAGACUCCAGGCGAUCCUCCGGCUCAGAUUGUUCCGGUGAUGCAGAGAUCUUGGGUUACGGUGGCGAAACAGCAGAAGGGAUUAAAAAGUUACGAUCUGGAGAUUUCAGUUUUGGAAGGAAAGCAGUCGGUAAAUGUUCCGUCGGAAAUUGUGGAAAAAGCAAAUCCUCUGUGGGAUGACUUUGUGAUAGCGCGAUUCUUGGAAACGGCUCCACACGUUGCGAAAGUGCACAUGAUCCUAAAUAAGAUCUGGAUGUUUGGUGAGAAAUCGAUGAAGAUUGAUGUUUAUGAAAUGGAUGCGGUAACAAUAAGAAUCAGGGUCCCAAGUGAAGUGAUAAGGGGGAAGAUCAUAAGGCGAGGUGUGUGGAAUAUUGCUGGGAUUCCCAUGGUGGUCUCUAAGUGGUCUCCGGUGGUGGAUAAAUCAGAAGGACAACUUACUCCACUGUGGGUUCACUUAAGCAAUGUCCCGAUGAGUAUGUACUCGUGGGAGGGAUUGAGUUUCAUCUCGAGUGCGGCUGGCAAACCAGAUAGACUACACCCGGAGACGAUAGCAUGCUCGAAUUUUGAGAUAGCCAAGGUGUGUGUCAAAGCAGACUUAUCGAAGCAGCUUCCAGAGAGGAUGAAUUUUAAGAUAGGAGAUGAGGAAGUAAUGGUGGAGUUUGCAUACCAAGGGUUACCUACAAAAUGUAGAAGCUGUGGAAAGUGGGGGCACUCAGAUAUAAUCUGUAGCAUGAAGAAAGAGGAGGGAGAAAUACAUGAAGUUGAGUUAUCAGAGGGAAAGAGAAGACAGGAAAAGGAUGUUGAAGAAGGUGGGGAUGGGAACGGAAAGGAGGUAGAGGUAGUAAAAGAUUUGGAGGUCGGAAAAGAUAUGGAAAAGGAAAGGAGCUUGCAGGAUACUAGAGUAAUGGAGGCAGUGGAGAUAGUUACUGAAGUUGAAAAAACAAUAGAGAAGAGUGGCGUGCAGGAGGGUAAUGGAAGCGGAAAACUAAAUGAGAGCUGGCGGCAGGUUGCAGAGAAGACUAUCAGAAGCCCUUGGAAGUCACCUAAAGAGUUACAAUUUGGUCAGGUAACAAUAACGCCAUCAAGGUAUGCCGCUCUGCAAAACUUGGAGGAUAGUAGGGAAGAAGAUACAUCUGAGCCUAGCGAAGAUGUAGUGGAGGAGGGCAAUGGAAUUGAGAAACCAAAAGUAGUUGAAUCUGAAGGUGGGAGACAGAUAUUACCGAGGAACUCAAAAACGUUUCAUAAAGUCCUUUCUGAGACUGUUAUUUCAAGAAGUGAGAUUGGUAUUACAACAAGGGGUUCUAGAAAGCAUCAUUAAUGGCGGGGUUCUUCUGGAAUAUAAGGGGUUUCAAUAAGUCUAUAAAGCAGGAGGUGGUUCGUAAUUGGAGUAGAAAUAAUAAUAUGCAGUUUGGGUGUUUGAUUGAGACAAGAGUAAAAGAGAGAAAGGCGAGAAAGAUAGUAAGUGAAGUUUUUGCAGGGUGGGACAGUAUGACAAAUUAUGAGCAUCAUAAUUUGGGUAGAAUUUGGGUAGUAUGGCAGCAAAGUGUGAGGAUGAGCCCUGUUUAUAAAAGCAGCCAGAUCAUCACUUGUUCAAUUUUGAUGGAAGGUGUGGAAGAGGAAUUCUUUUGUUCGUUUAUCUAUGCUGCAAAUGGUAUAGAGGAGAGGAAAGAGUUGUGGGACGACUUGAGAAGUCACUAUGACUCACCGAUGUUCAAGGAUAAAAAUUGGAUGAUAAUGGGGGAUUUUAAUGAGAUUCUGGAUAUUGAAGAGCACUCUGGUUUUGCAAGUUCACCGAGACUGCCAGGGGGUAUGCGAGAUUUUCAAGAGAUUGCCAGCUAUUGUGGUCUAACAGAUAUGGGGUAUCAGGGGCCGAAGUUUACAUGGUGUAAUAAGAGGGAAGAGGGGUUCAUAUGCAAGAAGUUGGACAGAGUGCUGAUUAAUGAGAGGUGGCUUCACUCUUCAAGGGCUUACUGUGUAUUCGAACCUGGGGGUUGCUCAGAUCAUCUGAGAUGUAGAAUCCAACUAGUGGUAGAGGAAACCCGGAAAAGAAAGCCGUUCAAGUUCACAAACUGUAUAGCUAAGAUGCCGGAGUUUCUUCCUUUGAUGGAGGAGAAUUGGAGGGGAAAUGUGGCUUUGUUCCACUCAACAACAGCUAUGUUCAAGCUCACAAAGCAAUUGAAGGCUCUAAAACAGCCGCUACGUUUGCUUUGCAAAGACAAGUUAGGAGACCUGCCAAAGAAAACUAGAGAAGCUUUUAAAACCUUAUGUGAGAAACAAAAAGCCACUUUGGAGCAACCUCUAGCGAGCGCGAUACGAGAAGAAGCAGCAGCUUAUGAAAGAUGGCAACGGUUAGCUUACUUGGAGGAAGAAUUCUACAAGCAAAGAUCGAAGUUACAUUGGCUUGAUGUGGGCGAUGGUAACAAUAGGGUCUUUCACAAUGCGAUAAAAGUUAGAGAAGUGCGAAAUGGUAUACGAGAAGUAAUGAGAGCUGAUGGUACAUUGGCUAAGACUGAUGAGGAGAUAAAAGUUGAAGCAGAGGGUUUCUUCUCACAAUUUCUGAAUGCUGUUCCUGAGGACUUUGAAGGAGUAACAGUGGAGAGACUGCGAGAGCUGUUGGGUUUUCAAUGUAGUGAGAUUGAUUGUGGAAAGCUAGUGAAGGAGGUGACUAAAGAAGAGAUUAAAGAGGUUCUUUUCAAGAUGCCAGGGCAUAAAUCACCAGGGCCAGAUGGGUAUACCUCAGAGUUCUUCAAAGAGACUUGGCAGAUAAUUGGAGAUGAUGUCACUAUUGCUGUCCAGUCUUUUUUCAUUAAGGGGUUCUUACCGAAAGGUCUUAACUCUACCAUACUGGCACUGAUUCCGAAAACAACAGAAGCGAAGAUCAUGAAGGACUACAGGCCAAUCUCGUGCUGCAAUGUAUUAUACAAAAUAAUAUCAAAGCUCCUGGCAAACAGAUUGAAGGGUAUUUUGCCGAAAUGUAUCUCUUGGAAUCAGUCUGCGUUCAUUAAGGAAAGGUUGUUGAUGGAGAACGUGCUGUUAGCUACAGAGAUUGUGAAAGAUUAUCAUAGAGAGGACAUAUCUCCAAGGUGUGCAAUGAUGAUCGACAUAUCAAAAGCUUUCGACUCUGUGCAAUGGAGCUUCCUACUCAACACACUUCAAGCUCUUGGUCUCCCUGAGAAGUUUAUUAAAUGGAUCUCACUCUGUAUCACUACAGCCUCUUUCUCUGUCCAAGUUAAUGGUGAGCUGGCUGGGUAUUUUCAGAGUAAUAGAGGAUUGCGUCAAGGAUGCUCCCUGUCUCCUUAUCUGUUCGUUAUAUGUAUGAAUGUAUUGUCAAAGAUGUUGGAUGAAGCAGCCGCCCGAAACCUGAUAGGAUUCCAUCCGAAGUGUAAAAACAUUGGUCUCACUCACCUUUGUUUUGCAGAUGACUUAAUGGUUUUCAUUGAGGGCUCUCGAAGAUCUGUGGAAGGGAUAUUGAGAGUUUUUGAGGAGUUUGAUAAAAUGUCGGGCCUGAAGAUAAGUUUGGAAAAAUCUACCCUGUUUAUGGCGGGAUUCUCAGAUCAAAAGAGAGCAGAAAUCGUAAGUCACUUUCCCCUAGCAUCUGGAAAUCUUCCCGUCAGAUACUUAGGACUGCCAUUGCUCACAAAGAACAUGUCAGUAAAUGAUUUUCUUCCUCUAGUUGAGAAAAUUAGAAAGAGGAUUGGAUCAUGGACAGGCCGCUUCUUAUCUUACGCAGGCAGGUUGCAACUGAUAAAUUCAGUCAUCAUGAGCUUGGUAAACUUCUGGAUGGCAGCUUUCAGGUUGCCAAGUGGUUGCAUUCAGGAAAUAGAGCGAAUCUGUUCGGCUUUCUUAUGGUCUGGUGUGGAGAUGAACAGCAGGAAAACAAAAAUUAGUUGGAAGGAAGUGUGUAGAACGAAGCAGGAAGGAGGCUUGGGUAUCAGAUCCUUGAAGGAGAUGAAUGUAGUUUGUAUUUUGAAGCUUAUUUGGAGAAUACUAGCUGCUAAAUCUCUUUGGGUCUGUUGGAUUAAGAUGUAUCUCAUCAGAAAAGGUUCAUUCUGGUCAAUAAAGGAUACAUCGCAACUGGGCUCUUGGACAUGGAGGAAAAUACUGAAGUACAGGGAGAAGGCAAAGGAGCUAUAUAGGGUGGAGGUUAGAAAUGGUGAGAGGGCUUCUUUUUGGUAUGAUAAAUGGUCUCCUCUUGGAUGCUUAAAAGACUUAUUGGGUAAUGGAGGUUGUAUAGACAUGGGUUUAACAGAGAAUGCAAAGGUUGCGGAUUGUCGUUGUCAUCGAAGAAAGAAUCAUCGAUUUAUGAUCCUUAACAGAGUAGAGCAGGAGAUAGAGAAGUUUAAAGUUAGUUGGAGACAAGAUGAGGAAGAUGUCUAUCUUUGGAGAAGUGGGAAUAAUAAAUUCAAGGAGAAAUUCUCUACUGCAGAAACCUGGCAGCAAAUCAGAGAACAACAUCAACAAUAUGAUUGGCAUAAAGCUGUGUGGUUCAAACACGCAACACCGAAGUACUCUUUUGUGGUCUGGGUCGCUUUGAGGGACCGACUGUCAACAGGAAGUAGAAUGGCACAAUGGUCCGCAAGUGUUGACACUUCUUGUAUCUUCUGCCAAGUACCGGUGGAAACAGUUGAUCACCUAUUUUUUGAGUGCUCAUACUCAAAGCAGAUAUGGGAGAAACUAGCGAGAGGUGUGCUAAGGGAUCGGUUUACUUCGAGCUGGUCUGAUAUUAGGAGGAUAAUUGUCGAUGAAGAUCAAGAGAAAAUGCUCCUCUUUACUAUCAGAUAUGUAUUUCAGACUGCAGUUCAUAGCAUUUGGAGAGAGAGAAACCGAAGAAGACACGGGGAGGCUGCUUCUCCAUAUGCUCUAAUUGCAAAGCUGAUCGACAAGACCAUGAGAAAUAAAUUCUCAAUCAUUCAAAAGAAGGGGGAUAAGAGGCUGGCAGGAGGGUUACAAUAUUGGUUUUCAACAAGAUAAUACUUCAUGUGAAGGGGACUUGAGCUGCAGUUUUGAGAAAGGGAUAAACUUUUGAAGGCUAAAAUUUGAUUGGGAAGAACCAGUAGGAGUGAGAGCUGGAAAUCCAGUAGGAGUGAGUGCUGGUAAAUCCAGUAGGAGUGAGAGCUGGCUGCCUAGUAGGAGUGAGAGCUAGGUAGAGUUUGAGAAGGAUGGGAAGAGAUGAGGAGGUCGAUAAGCUGAAGCAUGAUUUUCUUAUUGAUUUUAUAAAACUUGUAUAGAAACCUUAGAAGAAAGGACACACAUAGUUGUAACAAGGUUUUUUCUUUUUGAAUUAAAUUUAACAUUCAAUUCAAAAAAAAAAAAGAACAUAAAAUGCUUGAAUUUGUUGGACUGCACUAUAUACAAGAGAUAUAUAUGCUAAUACAGCAUAUGAGGUCCAUUAGUUCUCAAAUUGUACUAAACUAUAUGGCAUAUCAGGGGCAUUAACUAGCAAAAAGUCACCACUUGCUGUCCU
This 5995-nucleotide long non-coding RNA is filed under the name Brassica rapa (field mustard). RNAcentral describes it as "long non-coding RNA (BRAP_LNC003337)". Lineage: Eukaryota; Viridiplantae; Streptophyta; Magnoliopsida; Brassicales; Brassicaceae. The record is from RNAcentral.